Molecule: ribosomal RNA, 317 nt
Filed under: uncultured bacterium
Lineage: Bacteria
Description: bacterial SSU rRNA
Rfam family: Bacterial small subunit ribosomal RNA
Source: RNAcentral
GACGAACGCUGGCGGCGUGCCUAAUACAUGCAAGUCGAGCGGACCGAUGGGAGCUUGCUCCUUUAGGCUAGCGGCGGACGGGCGAGCAACACGUGGGCAACCUGCCCUGUAGACUGGGAUAACCUCGGGAAACCGGAGCUAAUACCGGAUAACACCGAAAACCGCAUGGUUUUCGGUUGAAAGGCGGCUUUUAGCUGUCACUGCAGGAUGGGCCCGCGGCGCAUUAGCUAGUUGGUGAGGUAACGGCUCACCAAGGCGACGAUGCGUAGCCGACCUGAGAGGGUGACCGGCCACACUGGGGCUGAGACACGGCCCAG